Molecule: long non-coding RNA, 686 nt
Filed under: Marmota monax (woodchuck)
Lineage: Eukaryota; Metazoa; Chordata; Mammalia; Rodentia; Sciuridae
Source: RNAcentral
AUAGCAAGAGUAUUCAAACACUCACUCUCUGCUUAGGAGCUAUCACUACCCUGUUCACCGCUAUCUGUGCCCUAACCCAAAACGAAAUUAAGAAAAUUAUCGCAUUCUCUACUUCAAGCCAAUUAGGAUUGAUAAUAGUCACCACUGGAAUUAAUCAACCCCACUUAGCAUUUCUCCACAUUUGUACACGUGCAUUCUUCAAAGCUAUAUUAUUUAUAUGCUCAGGAUCAAUUAUCCAUAACCUAAAUGACGAACAAGAUAUUCGAAAAAUAGGAGGACUAUUUAAAGCUCUUCCAUUUACCUCAUCUUCACUUAUUAUUGGUAGUCUGGCACUAACAGGAACUCCCUUUUUAACUGGAUUCUACUCUAAAGACCUAAUUAUCGAGUCUGCAAACACGUCAUAUGCCAACGCCUGAGCCCUUACUAUUACACUAUUUGCCACUUCCCUAACCGCUGUCUACAGUACAUGAAUUAUCUUCUAUGCUCUAAUAGGACAACCUCAGUUCUCUACACUAACUUCCAUUAAUGAAAAUUACCCUCAACUACUUAAUUCAAUUAAACGCCUUCUUAUUGACAGUAUCUUUGCAGGAUUUAUCCUUUCAUUAAACAUCCCACCUAUUAAAUGUUCCAGUACUAACCAUACCUAUUUAUCUAAAAUUUACAGCACUAUUAGUAACCAUUUUAGG